Molecule: unclassified non-coding RNA, 294 nt
Filed under: fungal sp.
Lineage: Eukaryota; Fungi
Description: partial internal transcribed spacer region
Rfam family: Eukaryotic small subunit ribosomal RNA (bases 1-46)
Source: RNAcentral
AAGUCGUAACAAGGUUUCCGUAGGUGAACCUGCGGAAGGAUCAUUAACAUUGAAUGAUUGGUGGGUGGGGUGUGGAGUUUCCUUUGGAAGCAAAGCACUCACCCUUCCACCCCAUUGUGUGCAUGUCGUGAGUGAGUGAGUGGGUCUUCGUGACUCAGUCUCUCCUUUUCUCUCACUUCUUACUACCAAAACCCCUCUUUCUACUUCUAGACUGAUUACAACCCGUUUUCUCUCUCUAGCAGAGAAAACACACCAAUAGCAAUACAACUCUUAGCAACGGAUAUCUAGGCUCUC